Molecule: ribosomal RNA, 900 nt
Filed under: Coniolariella gamsii
Lineage: Eukaryota; Fungi; Ascomycota; Sordariomycetes; Xylariales; Xylariaceae
Description: partial large subunit ribosomal RNA
Rfam family: Eukaryotic large subunit ribosomal RNA
Source: RNAcentral
GCAUAUCAAUAAGCGGAGGAAAAGAAACCAACAGGGAUUGCCCCAGUCAACGGSRAGUGAAGCKGCAACAKCUSAAWUUGAAAUCUGGCCCUCGGGWCCGAGUUGUAAUUUGUAGAGGAUGCUUUUGGCGCGGUGCCUUCCGAGUUCCCUGGAACGGGACGCCUUAGAGGGUGAGAGCCCCGUACGGUUGGACACCAAGCCUCUGUAAAGCUCCUUCGACGAGUCGAGUAGUUUGGGAAUGCUGCUCUAAAUGGGAGGUAAAUUUCUUCUAAAGCUAAAUAUUGGCCAGAGACCGAUAGCGCACAAGUAGAGUGAUCGAAAGAUGAAAAGCACUUUGAAAAGAGGGUUAAAUAGCACGUGAAAUUGUUGAAAGGGAAGCGUUUGCGACCAGACCUCUCCCCGGCGGAUCAUCCGGCGUUCUCGCCGGUGCACUCCGCCGGGCUGAGGCCAGCAUCGGUUCCCGCGGGGGGACAAAAGCGGGGGGAACGUAGCUCCCUCGGGAGUGUUAUAGCCCUCCGCAUAAUACCCUCGCGGGGACCGAGGACCGCGCUUCGGCAAGGAUGCUGGCGUAAUGGUCGUCAACGACCCGUCUUGAAACACGGACCAAGGAGUCGAACAUUUGUGCGAGUGUUUGGGUGUCAAACCCUCACGCGUAAUGAAGGUGAACGUAGGUGAGAGCCCUCGCGGGCGCAUCAUCGACCGAUCCUGAUGUCUUCGGAUGGAUUUGAGUAAGAGCAUAACUGUUCGGACCCGAAAGAUGGUGAACUAUGCGUGGAUAGGGUGAAGCCAGAGGAAACUCUGSYGGAGGCUSGCAGSGGYUCKKACGUSMMAUCGAUMGUMAAWYYRCSCMUGGGGGCGAAAGACUUAUCGAACCAUCUAGUAGCUGGUUACCGCCGAAGU